ACAAUGAAGAGUUUGAUCCUGGCUCAGGAUGAACGCUAGCUACAGGCUUAACACAUGCAAGUCGAGGGGCAGCAUUCCAGUUUGCUUGCAAACUGGAGAUGGCGACCGGCGCACGGGUGAGUAACACGUAUCCAACCUGCCGAUAACUCGGGGAUAGCCUUUCGAAAGAAAGAUUAAUACCCGAUGGCAUAAUAGAACCGCAUGGUUUGAUUAUUAAAGAAUUUCGGUUAUCGAUGGGGAUGCGUUCCAUUAGGCAGUUGGUGGGGUAACGGCCCACCAAACCUUCGAUGGAUAGGGGUUCUGAGAGGAAGGUCCCCCACAUUGGAACUGAGACACGGUCCAAACUCCUACGGGAGGCAGCAGUGAGGAAUAUUGGUCAAUGGACGAGAGUCUGAACCAGCCAAGUAGCGUGAAGGAUGACUGCCCUAUGGGUUGUAAACUUCUUUUAUAUGGGAAUAAAGUGGUCCACGUGUGGAUUUUUGUAUGUACCAUAUGAAUAAGGAUCGGCUAACUCCGUGCCAGCAGCCGCGGUAAUACGGAGGAUCCGAGCGUUAUCCGGAUUUAUUGGGUUUAAAGGGAGCGUAGGUGGAC
RNAcentral lists this ribosomal RNA (591 nucleotides) under Bacteroides faecis. RNAcentral's name for it is "bacterial SSU rRNA". It matches the Rfam family "Bacterial small subunit ribosomal RNA", at positions 1 to 580 of the family's 1533-position model. The record is from RNAcentral. Lineage: Bacteria; Pseudomonadati; Bacteroidota; Bacteroidia; Bacteroidales; Bacteroidaceae.